GACGAACGCUGGCGGCGUGCCUAAUACAUGCAAGUCGAACGCUGAAGAGAGGAGCUUGCUCUUCUUGGAUGAGUUGCGAACGGGUGAGUAACGCGUAGGUAACCUGCCUUGUAGCGGGGGAUAACUAUUGGAAACGAUAGCUAAUACCGCAUAACAAUGGAUGACACAUGUCAUUUAUUUGAAAGGGGCAAUUGCUCCACUACAAGAUGGACCUGCGUUGUAUUAGCUAGUAGGUGAGGUAAUGGCUCACCUAGGCGACGAUACAUAGCCGGCCUGAGAGGGUGAUCGGCCACACUGGGACUGAGACACGGCCCAGACUCCUACGGGAGGCAGCAGUAGGGAAUCUUCGGCAAUGGGGGCAACCCUGACCGAGCAACGCCGCGUGAGUGAAGAAGGUUUUCGGAUCGUAAAGCUCUGUUGUAAGUCAAGAACGGGUGUGAGAGUGGAAAGUUCACACUGUGACGGUAGCUUAACAGAAAGGGACGGCUAACUACGUG
RNAcentral lists this ribosomal RNA (497 nucleotides) under uncultured bacterium. Its description in RNAcentral is "partial 16S ribosomal RNA". It matches the Rfam family "Bacterial small subunit ribosomal RNA", at positions 28 to 507 of the family's 1533-position model. The record is from RNAcentral.